UGGAACCCGGCCGACAGAAGAUGGCGGAUGAGCAGCGUGCAGGGUUUUCUCCCUGUGGCUCACUCUCUCUUACUGUGCUGGGCGGUUGCUUCCUCUCCUGCUGCCCUUGGGAGUCAGACUCCAGGUUCUUCAGCCUGUGGCCCCUGGGGCUCUCGGGCCUUGGAGGACUGACUAGGAGCACACGGUGGGCCUCUCUGGUUUGGGGGCCUGGGACGUGGCGGAGCCCUGCAGCUUCUGUGCGGCCUGUUCUGGGCGUCGCGUUGAAACGCCAGCCAGUUCCCCAAUCCCCCUGGGAUUACAGGAGUGUUGAAGAAAUGUUGUGACACAUCAGAACACCGCGAAAUACAUGGACACUUUCAAAUCAUGGAAGACUCAAGAGUCCUUGUUUUUGCCCAGUAUUAUAAACUGAGUUACAUAAAGGCAGAGCAAAUGCUAAAGCAAACUGUCCAGAAGGAAGGACAGCAGUAAGUGGAGAGACGUUAUUGCAAACAAGCACCUGGCAACAGCUGUGUUAGUUGGGUCAGGAGGGCAUCUUUCUCGGCUCUUCACUGUGAGAACCUUGUGGGAUUCCUGAAGAUGAAACCAUGAACGCGAGGGAGUCUUGCUAAAACUGCAGCAUUCGAGAGGUUUUCACUCAUGCUGGCUCACACUUGUCCUCUAGCAAUUCAUCAAAAUUACCACGACAAAGAAGACAGAAAAUACUACACACUACCCAGAGAUUGAAACUGAAGGUGUGAACAACAGAGAAAAGAGAGGGCAAAGAAAAGGAAAACAAAGAAGACGUGGGAUAUGAAAGGUGUAUGCCAUGUGUGGACAUCAAGAAAUGUUUCAGCUCGCACUUCUGCCACCAAUUGAGCCUGGAACCUCACUACUUGGAGUUGGGGGGAGGGCAGUGCUCAUUCAUCACCUGUGAAAAUAGGGAUUGAGAGUUCCCUAACUUUGCCAUUUUUCCUCAAGCACUGGCAUUGGUCUUCUGAAUGUCAGGCUCUGUAUAAGUGAGUCCUCAGCUGAGCCACAGGCUCUGCAUUCCUGGCAGUCCACACACUUCAUAUCCUUUGUUUAUGCUGCUCAUUUUGGAAUUCAAACAGGUUGGUGGGGCACAUUUCAACAGAUAAUGACACACACUGACUGCUCAUGAGCUAUUUUAUGGUGUGAGAAUGUUGUGAUGUUAUGAAAUGCGGAGGCAUUAAAACAUGGGGACAUUUUCUAGAAGAUCCUUAGCAGAGAGUACAGAAGACUAAGGUCCAAAUCUCUGAAAUGAUGUUUUCCAAAUUAUUGCACAGCUAUGUCAAAGUACCUUGAUCCAGUUAAUGUUAACAAAUAAAAAAUUAUGAAAUGUUAUUUUCUAGGUAUGGAUAGUAGUGGAUAGUAGUAGAUCUGUUGUGUAGUGGAGAUUACUUAGGAAGAAUAAAUUUCAACUUUACCAAGAAAGUACUACAUUAAUUGCAUUAGGGAAUUGUGAAUUGCAUUAGGAAAAUGCUCAUUCUUCUUUCAAUAGCCAAUAUCUGGAUACUAUACUCUCUUGAAUUUCUAAGAUUUGCAUCCAAUAUUCUAUAAUUAGCUUUCCAGUUUAUUGAAUGAUUUAAUUUACAUACAAAUAUUUUCUAAUAUAUUCCCUGUAAAAUAGUUUAAAAAAUUAAACGUUUCUCUAAUUACACAUUCCUCCCUAGCUGAUACAAUUUCAUUUAUUUGCUUACUUUCCCAGCUGGACAUUCAGAAAUUUUUUACUCAUAUUGUCUUCAAUUGCAUAUUUGCCAGUUUCUAGCUUUUAUUUUAUUUUUUAUAUCCAUUUUGUUCUAGGUGUGGAAAUUGCUAAGUGUAGAGCUUAAUAAUAUUUCACCAGAAAGAUAUGUGUCUAACUCCCUCAUGAAGAAAUAGUAUGUUACCAACACUCCCAAAUUUCCUUUGAUGUCAAAAAGCAUUAUUUUUCUCGAGUCUUUUUUUGUGUUGGUAUGAUAUAUAAACGAAAUCAUAUACACAUUUAUUUUUUCAUUUAGAUACUUUCCUUCAGUAUUAUGAUUGAGACAUUAACCUCAGUUUAAGUAUUUAUGUCAUUUUCAUUGCUAGUUCAUUGUAAGAAGCACACCUUUUAUUUAUCUAUUCCCUUAAUACAUAUUCCUGUUUCCAGUGUUAGAUUAAUGCAAAUAAGGCUAUCGUGAGCAUUCUUUUACAUGUUUUUCAGUGUACAAAUAUAUGCUGAGAGAGGAAUUACUGAAUCACAGAAAGCAGUAUAUGCAGCUAUAAUAGAUAUUACCAUAUCCACCAAACGUUUAGCAUUUCCUGUUUCAUUUUAUUCACUCUGGGGGAUGUAUAGAGAUUUCACAUUACAUUAUAAUUUAAUUUCUCUAAUGUCUAAUGAUGGGGAGCACCUUUUUCAUGUUUUUAUUGUCAAUUUGGCUAUCUUCUUUUUCUAAAUGCAUGUUCAAGUAUUUCAUCCAUUUUUAUUGGUCUUCUUUUUUUACUGGUUUAAUUGAAUUCUUUACAUAUUAUGGAUAUGAGCUCUUUGUCAAUUUUAUAUGUAUGCUUAUAUUCACUCCUACUUCACUCUGCAGCUUGCUUUUUAUUUUUAUGCUUUUAAUAAUGAACAUAAUUUCUUUAUUUUAAUAAAUAUCAUUAUUUUUCUUUAUGGUUAGUGUAUUUGCAACUAGGUUAACAAAUAUUUAUCUCCUUUACAGGCACUAAUAUAUUUCCCAACGUUAUCUUCCAAAAGAGGUCAUGUUGUACCUCUUGUAUUUAGGUAUACAAUACAUCUGAAAUUGAUUUUUGUGUGUGUUGCAGUUAGUAAUGAAGAUUCUCUUUUGAUAUAAAUAUCUAACUGAUUCAGCAUUAUUUCUUUAAAAGGCCACUUAUUUUCAUUGCUGUUGUAAGGAAGGAACAAAGGUUUCUUGUCAUGGCUUUCCUUCUGUAUUGCUCAGUCUCCCUAAAGUAAGUCUAGAAAAUUAAAGAAUUUUUUGAAUUGUUUUUUAUGAAUCAGGCAUUUCUCUAAAUAUGCCAGUCUAUUUCUAGACUAUAUUUGAAUUUGUCUUUAUGCUUUGUUCUAGUGCACACUGUCUUGAACAUUAUAUUUUUAUAAGUAUUGAUAUUUUAUAUUUUUAUUCUGAUUAAUUCAUUUAACUUGCUUUAUAAAUCUUUUGUGAAACAAGAAUGUUAUUUUUGAAGUGGCAGCAUUUAAAGAAUGUUACUUUAUUCAGCUCAAAAUCAUGUAUUACAUACUAUACUGUACUAAGUAUAUAUAUAUACACACACAUAUAUAUACACACAUAUAUACACACACAUAUAUAUACACACACACACACACACACACACACACAUAUAUAUAUAUAUAUAUAUGCACAUUUAAUACCCAAAAAAUCCCAAUCAGGUGUGCACUAUUAGUAUUCUCAUAUUGUAAUUGAAGAAACAAAGUCACAGAGGCACAGGCACAAAGAAGUUAAGCAGAAUGUGAAUGCGAGAUACCUAACACAUGGUGAGUGGAAAUGUCUGUAUUUGAAUCUAGGCACCUGGCUGCAGACUAAGUGCUUUUAGAGACUAUGCUUUGCUGAUUUUCAUUUCAGAGGUGAUUUUACUUUUCUUCUUAAGGUUUUUCAGGAAAGAAUUGGUGGCUGAGAAUAGAUUUUAGAUGUAGAAAUUGUAAGAAGAAGCUGGGGGAGGUGGCUUACACCUGUAAUCCCAGCACUUUGGGAGGCCGAGGCGGGUGGAUCACCUGAGGUCAGGAGUUUGAGACCAGCCUGACCAACAUGGUGAAACCCCGUCUCUACUAAAAAUAAAAAAAAUUAGCCAGGCAUGGUGGUGGGUGCCUUUAAUCCCAGCUACUCAGGAGGCUGAGGCAGGUGAAUCGCUUGAAGCCAGGAGGCAGAGAUUGCAGUGAGCCGAGAUUGCGCCAUUGCACUCCAGCCUGGACAAAAAGAGUGAAACUCCAUGUCAAAAAAAAAAAAAAAAAGGAAAUUAUAAGAAGAACUAGGUUAAAGUUUUCUUUAUUUUAAUCUGGCUUAAUAAAUAGAAUUUAUUAUCAGAUUGUGAUAGAAGAUGAGAGAAAAAGCAGGAAUCUUGAGUCACUAUGAAAUUUGGGGUCUGAGAUAAUAAGUGGAUGGCACACUCGGUUGUCAAAGUAGGAAGCACUAGGGAGGCAAACAUAUAGAAUGGAAUGGAGGAUUAUGUUACUUGGGAGAUGCCUAAGAGACAACUAAAUUUCAGGUUUCAAGUAGGAAGCCUGAGGUAUACAUGAGAUACUUAAAACCAUGGGACAGAAUGAGAUCAUCUUGGAAGAAUGUGUACAGAAAUAAAAUAACUGAGAAUGAAAUUAUAGGAGCAUGGCACUUAAUUUAUAUGAAAAGAGGAUGGUUUGGACUAUUUAAACUUCUUUCCCUCUUCUGGGAUUCUAAGAGAGACAUGAGAGACCAAGUAGCAAUUGUGGCAUCAUUACAAUAUCUGAUAAACUUGUGCUAUAGCCUACUCUUCUAGAAUACCUGUAUAGAAGAGAUUAUGAAAGGGAAAGUGUAUAAAACAGAGUGGUUGAAAAUGCUUACCAUCAUUGGAGUAAUAUAGACAUACAGAAGGAAGAAGGUGAAAAAUACAGGCUAGUCUUGAGGAUCCUGACUGCUUUGUAUGGGAAAUGUCUGGCUAUACCAUUGUUAAACUGUUUCACUACAGCAUUAAAAUGAGUCAAUUAUGCAUUUAAAUUUAUGGAUAAAAAACUAAGCUACCAACAGUAAGCUACAGAAGAAAAGUUGUAUGCUAAUGGAAUAUUUUUAGAAUUCUGGAUUAUUUAGGAAAAGUCUGAUGUCUUACUGAAAGAACACCUCAAUAAUAGAGCAAAUAUUAAAAAGUGAUAAUUUUAUACCACAUUCCUAAAGGUAAAAUUACUAUAGUAGAAUGCCUGGCAGUUGAGAAGUACUUUAACAAUGGCAUUAAAAAAUAUGGCUUAUUUCUAAGUGUUUAAUCCAUCUUGGGUUAAUUUUUGUAUAAGGUGUAAGAAAGGGGUCCAGUUUCAGUUUUCUGCAUAUGGCCAGCCUGUUUUCCCAACACCAUAGGGAAUCCUUUCCCCAUGGCUUGUUUUUAUCAGGUUUGUCAAAGAUCAGAUGGUUGUAGACGUAUGGAGUUAUUUCUGAGUUCUCUGUUCUGUCUGGCUUGUUUUUGUCAGGUUUGUCAAAGAUCAGAUGGUUGUAGAUGUAUUGGGUUAUUUCUGAGGCCUCUGUUCUGUUGCAUUUGUCUAUAUAUCUGUUUUGCUACCAGUACCAUGCUGUUUUGGUUACGGUAACCUUGUAGUAUAGUUUGAAGUCACGUAGCAUGAUGCUUCCAGCUUUGUUCUUUUUGCUUAGGAUUGUCUUGGCUGUACAGGCUCUUUUUUGGUUCCAUAUGAAACUUAAAGUAGUUUUUUUCCAAUUCUGUGAAGAAAGUCAAAGGCAGCUUGAUGGGGAUACCAUUGAAUCUAUAAAUUACUUUGGACAGUAUGGCCAUUUUCAUGAUAUUGAUUCUUCCUAUCCAUGAGCAUUGUUAAACUGCUUAAACUGUUUAACGUUUUAUGUUAAAUGUUAACAUAAUGUUGUACAUUAUGUAACAAAUGUAAAAUAAUGUUAAAAUGUUCUUCCAUUUGUUUGUAUCCUCUCUUAUUUCCUUGAGCAGUGGUUUGUAGUUCUCCUUGAAGAGGUCCUUCAUAUCCCUUGUAAGUUUUAUCCCUAGAUAUUUUAUUCUUUUGGUAGUAAUUGUGAACAGGAGUUCACUCAUGAUUUGGCUCUCUAUUAUUGGUGUAUAGGAAUGCUUGUGAUUUUUGCACAUUGAUUUUUUAUCCUGAGAGUUUGCUGAAGUUGCUUAUCAGCUUAAGGAGAUUUGGGGCUGAGAUGAUGGGGUUUUCUAAAUAUACAGCCAUGUCAUCUCCAAACAGAGAAAAUUUGACUUUCUCUCUCCUAUUUGAAUAUGGCCUAUUCCAAUUCAGGUACACACUUGGACAUAGAUAGCAUUCAGCAUUGAACAUGUUCUUGAAUGGUUGGAUUUCACCCUUGGCAUGUUUGAUAUAUACCUCAGCUUCUUCAGUACAACAUUAACUUUUCACUUUUGUCAUUUUUGUCUGAGAGAGGAAAGAAUAAAAGUGAAAGAAAAAAGUUCAGGGGUAUAUCAAAUUUAAAGUUCUCAGGAAGGAGGUCCUGACAGACAGGAUAUUCAGAGGAAAACUAGGAGAAUGUGGGAAGAGAUAAAGCAAAUGUCCAAUGUUGCUGCAAAACUGAUUACAAUUAGGUCAGAGUAUAGGUCAAAGUCUAUGGCAGGCUAUAGGGUAAUAAUGACCUGUAUUUAAAAAAUAGAUUCAAAGUAAAAAAUGAAAUGAAACAUGAUUAAAAUGAGUUGAAGGAUGCUGCAGAAUUGAAGGCAAGGACAUAGAAAACUUUUGAAGAUGCUACGCUUCAAGUGGCAGAAAAGAAUGAGGCAGCAGUAGAAUUGAAGACUCAAGGGAGGGGAUUAAAUAUGUACAAUCUGAGAUGCAUUUUGAUAAUCAAGGCAAUAAUCCAGUGGGAGAGGAGAGCUUAAUUGCAGUAACAGUGUCCAUGAAACCUUCAGAAGGCGUAGAUUCAAGGACACAAGCCAAAGGACUGGCCUUCUAUAAUUAGGCUUUCCUAGGAUAGUUUCUUUUUUAUACUUAGGUCUCUAUGUACUAUGAAAUUUAUUUACCUAAAAGGGAUGGGUUAUGAAUCAAAUUCUAUUUUUCAAAUAAGUAGUAAAUGUUCUAACACCAUAUAUGGAGGAAUAUUUCCUUUGGUCAUUAAUUUUAUAUACCUUCUACUCAUAUUAAUGUAUAAAAUAUGCAUAUAACAUUAUAUAAAAACACAUGUAGUAUUAAACAAUGUCUAUUUCUGAGCUACAAUAAAUUAUUUUAAUUAUAUUUUAAUAAUAUUUGGUUCCAUACAUUCACGCAUCCUUUAAAAAUAUCAUUGUGUUUUCCUUGGGCCUUUAUUCAUUUCUAUUAAUUUAAAAAUUUUACAACGAGUUAUAAUUUUAUUAAGAUUUUAUAUGAAUGUGAAUGAAUUUGACAUUUUUAUAGAAUGAAGUUUUCCCAUUCAUGAACUUGAUAUAUUUCUCCAUUUAAUCACUUCAUCACAAAAGGUCUAUACUAUUUUAUUACACCAGACGAACAUAAUUAUAGUACAUCAAAAAGCUGGUGACCAGGUUUGGAAGAGUCUAUAAAUCAUGUCAUAAAGAAAAAUGAAUGUAUUUAGUUUGGAAAAUAGUAACUUAAGACAUCUAUAAUAACCUUCUAAGUUUUUGAAUGAAUCUGUGGUUAAAAAAAAAAAGGAACUAAAUCUUUUUUAAUUGCAGAAGACAAAAAGGAAGAAAAAUUAUGGAAAAGACACAUUUUUAUCAAUUAAAGAAAAAUUAUAUUGAAAUUGACUUCAUGAAUAUGUAAGUUCUGUAUCCCUGGCAGAAACUGGUAUUUGGAGAAAAUACAAAGCAUUCCUACACUGAAAGAAAUGAUGCACCCAAGGAUCAGAGGAGAGUCCUUUGUUGGCUCAUGUAUCACCUGGAUCUGAAAUGAUGUGGAGU
This 7530-nucleotide long non-coding RNA is filed under the name Homo sapiens (human). RNAcentral's name for it is "HSALNT0122946". The record is from RNAcentral. Lineage: Eukaryota; Metazoa; Chordata; Mammalia; Primates; Hominidae.